Molecule: ribosomal RNA, 862 nt
Filed under: Staphylococcus aureus VET0078R
Lineage: Bacteria; Bacillati; Bacillota; Bacilli; Caryophanales; Staphylococcaceae
Also listed under: 1 other name
Description: bacterial SSU rRNA
Rfam family: Bacterial small subunit ribosomal RNA
Source: RNAcentral
AGAGUUUGAUCCUGGCUCAGGAUGAACGCUGGCGGCGUGCCUAAUACAUGCAAGUCGAGCGAACGGACGAGAAGCUUGCUUCUCUGAUGUUAGCGGCGGACGGGUGAGUAACACGUGGAUAACCUACCUAUAAGACUGGGAUAACUUCGGGAAACCGGAGCUAAUACCGGAUAAUAUUUUGAACCGCAUGGUUCAAAAGUGAAAGACGGUCUUGCUGUCACUUAUAGAUGGAUCCGCGCUGCAUUAGCUAGUUGGUAAGGUAACGGCUUACCAAGGCAACGAUGCAUAGCCGACCUGAGAGGGUGAUCGGCCACACUGGAACUGAGACACGGUCCAGACUCCUACGGGAGGCAGCAGUAGGGAAUCUUCCGCAAUGGGCGAAAGCCUGACGGAGCAACGCCGCGUGAGUGAUGAAGGUCUUCGGAUCGUAAAACUCUGUUAUUAGGGAAGAACAUAUGUGUAAGUAACUGUGCACAUCUUGACGGUACCUAAUCAGAAAGCCACGGCUAACUACGUGCCAGCAGCCGCGGUAAUACGUAGGUGGCAAGCGUUAUCCGGAAUUAUUGGGCGUAAAGCGCGCGUAGGCGGUUUUUUAAGUCUGAUGUGAAAGCCCACGGCUCAACCGUGGAGGGUCAUUGGAAACUGGAAAACUUGAGUGCAGAAGAGGAAAGUGGAAUUCCAUGUGUAGCGGUGAAAUGCGCAGAGAUAUGGAGGAACACCAGUGGCGAAGGCGACUUUCUGGUCUGUAACUGACGCUGAUGUGCGAAAGCGUGGGGAUCAAACAGGAUUAGAUACCCUGGUAGUCCACGCCGUAAACGAUGAGUGCUAAGUGUUAGGGGGUUUCCGCCCCUUAGUGCUGCAG